ACGCUGGCGGCGUGCCUAACACAUGCAAGUCGAGCGGAGUUAACAAGAGGAAGUUUCGGAUGGAAUUUGUUAAUUAGCGGCGGACGGGUGAGUAACGCGUGAGCGACCAACCUUGCACAGGGGGAUAACGGACCGAAAGGUUCACUAAUACCGCAUGAGACCACGGUGUUGCAUGACACAGAGGUCAAAGGAGCAAUCCGGUGCAAGACGGGCUCGCGUCCGAUUAGGUAGUUGGUGGGGUAAUGGCCCACCAAGCCUAUGAUCGGUAGCCGACCUGAGAGGGUGAUCGGCCACAUUGGAACUGAGAUACGGUCCAAACUCCUACGGGAGGCAGCAGUGGGGAAUAUUGGGCAAUGGGGGGAAAAACCCCUGACCCAGCAACGCCGCGUGAAGGAAGAAGGUUUUCGGAUUGUAAACUUCUGUCCUUGGUGAAGAGAAGAAGACGGUAGCCAAGGAGGAAGCCCCGGCUAACUACGUGCCAGCAGCCGC
RNAcentral lists this ribosomal RNA (489 nucleotides) under uncultured bacterium. RNAcentral describes it as "bacterial SSU rRNA". It matches the Rfam family "Bacterial small subunit ribosomal RNA", at positions 33 to 518 of the family's 1533-position model. The record is from RNAcentral.